This 482-nucleotide ribosomal RNA is filed under the name uncultured bacterium. RNAcentral describes it as "bacterial SSU rRNA". It matches the Rfam family "Bacterial small subunit ribosomal RNA", at positions 30 to 506 of the family's 1533-position model. The record is from RNAcentral.
UUGAACGCUGGCGGCAUGCUUUACACAUGCAAGUCGAACGGCAGCGGGGGCUUCGGCCUGCCGGCGAGUGGCGAACGGGUGAGUAAUACAUCGGAACGUGCCCUGAAGUGGGGGAUAACGUAGCGAAAGUUACGCUAAUACCGCAUAUUCUGUGAGCAGGAAAGCAGGGGAUCGCAAGACCUUGCGCUUUAGGAGCGGCCGAUGUCGGAUUAGCUAGUUGGUGGGGUAAAGGCCUACCAAGGCGACGAUCCGUAGCUGGUCUGAGAGGAUGAUCAGCCACACUGGGACUGAGACACGGCCCAGACUCCUACGGGAGGCAGCAGUGGGGAAUUUUGGACAAUGGGCGCAAGCCUGAUCCAGCCAUGCCGCGUGAGUGAAGAAGGCCUUCGGGUUGUAAAGCUCUUUCAGACGGAAAGAAAUCGGGCGCGUGAAUAGCGUGCCUGGAUGACGGUACUGUCAGAAGAAGCACCGGCUAACUACGU